AGCAUUUCGCCUCCACAACCCCCUCUCCCCGCUGGUCCAGGAGGGAGGCGGGACGUGGGGGCGCUGCCCAAGCCCCACUCCCGGUGUACGGGGGAGAGGGUGGAGGACCCAGAAAAACCCGUUUGAGGAAGAUGUGCCUCCCUGCGCGUUCAAGGUGUCAGGAGUGCUUGGUAAAUUUUUGGACACUCGCGUUCCAGCUGUACAUUCAGUUGAGGAAAUGCAGGCUUGUAUCCAAAAUGAAUUACCAUGAGCUAGCUAACAUAGCACAGAAGAUGGCAGGGUCACAGGGCCCAGGCCCCCUUCGGAGGGACUGAGCUUUCACCUGCGAAUCAGCGUCUUACUGGCACUUGGAGAAUGUGAAUGACAAUGUACUUGACUGCGGCUUUUCCUCUCCCCCCUUCAGAGGUUUUAUACACCUGAAAGAAGAGAAUGUCAAGACGAAGUAGCCGUUUACAAGCUAAGCAGCAGCCCCAGCCCAGCCAGACGGAAUCCCCCCAAGAAGCCCAGAUAAUCCAGGCCAAGAAGAGGAAAACUACCCAGGAUGUCAAAAAAAGAAGAGAGGAGGUCACCAAGAAACAUCAGUAUGAAAUUAGGGUAAUGCAGAACUGGGCUGGGUGGGUUUGGGGGAAAAAUGGAGGAUAGAUGAAUAAGAAUAGAAUUAUGUGUUUAUUGCUUUGCGAUAGAUUCCUCUGACACUUUUACUUUUAAUGCCCCUAGAGGUCAGCAGGAAGGCGCCUAUCUUUGGGUGGUUUCUAUGUGCCCGAAUCCUACUACAGCUGCAGAAUAAGUGCCUUCAAGCAGCUGGUUCCUUUUUGUAAAUCCCUCCCUCU
RNAcentral lists this long non-coding RNA (830 nucleotides) under Homo sapiens (human). Its description in RNAcentral is "non-protein coding lnc-TP53INP1-4:1". The record is from RNAcentral. Lineage: Eukaryota; Metazoa; Chordata; Mammalia; Primates; Hominidae.